CGUCGACGUCGUUUGCUCCGAAGAGGUCGGCGCCAUAACCACGUCGAUCUCGCUCGAUGCGAGAAUCAUGCUGGCACAGAGAUUUGGUGUUAGGGUUCCGUGGAUGAAAGCGGUUUCAAGUGGUGGAGGGAGGUGGCUUCUGUGGCGGCGGAUGCGGUGAGCGCCGGCUUCGAUGUGCUGGAGCGGCAGCAGCAGCUACACGUCCCGCUUUGACGCCAUCUGACACAAGCGUCGUGCAGCCGAGGUCUGCACUAGACGUGUGCUCGACUCCCUCGUCGCCACGAUCUAGCUCUCCGUCGACAGCUCCCUGUCGUGCUGUCAAGCAGUCUGAGACUACUGCCGAUGUGUUGUGGAGAUAUGAUGGGGAAGUGAGAAGCGGCAGGAAAAAACGUGCAGCGAGGGGCUUUUGUCCGUGCGAUUGAGAGAGAACUAGCUUGUUCAGUGGUUAAUUAAGAAGACUUCUAGACGAGUGGAUAUGAAGACCCUUCGAGACUAUUUCCACGUGGGUCUCGGCGAAACUAAGUAUCCUGACAUUGAUCAGUGUGGUGAGCCAUGCCUUCCGUACGAUGCAAGGUAAAGUUUGGCACCAGACACUAAUCAUUGUGGCUCUCAUAAUGAUGCGGCACCCCAAGUUGACGGUGCUCUCUGCCUUGCUGUUGCGCUUGUUUUCUGAACGGUAGUUGAAGCUACAGCUUUUGCAGCACCCGAGUGUUUGGCAAAAUUGGAUUACUUAAUUACCUGUUGUGUUCCAUGCUGGUUAAGGCUUGGGAGGAUUGUUCCGAAUUUGAUAUCGAGGAAGCACACUAGCAACCCAACAACUGGUAAGAUUACGAUGUCACUCGUCAUAAACUAUCGAGGCACGUGGCCAUAGCCAUGGACUUUGCGGCCGGCCUGCUUAUCCUUGCCAAGGCAAAAAUGCAUGACCCAGUGUCCAACUUUGAACGCCGACAUGGACGACGGCCUCAAGUGCUCCAGCAUCUUCUUUGUAGGUAGACCGGCACCGCUAAGGGCUUAGCCAAACUACUUCUUUUUUACCUAUAUUAACAACCAACCGCUACAUAUUGUCAUCGGAUAAAUUUGGACCGAUAGGAUUUUACUAAAGUUUAUUAAUGAUACUUUGUUUCAGAAUAUGUGGAGAGGCAGUUUGCACCAUAGUUCAAGCCAGACUCUAGAUUACAUGGCUAAGGAGCUCACUUAUACUGGCAAUUUUUUACUGUCUUUAUUUAAAUUAAAAUGGUUUAUGUACUCUGUCGGGGCAGUCAUAUGCCAUAUUAAUUUCAGAUGAACAAUUUCCAAUUUAAUGUUGUGCGUGUAUGUAUUGUUAUAUCUAAAAGGAAAAUUCCAAAGAAACAAUAACAGGGUCACAGCUUGUAUUUACA
Molecule: long non-coding RNA, 1379 nt
Organism: Triticum aestivum (bread wheat)
Lineage: Eukaryota; Viridiplantae; Streptophyta; Magnoliopsida; Poales; Poaceae
Exons: 4
Source: RefSeq, a predicted model, not a curated record